GUCGAACGCGUCUUGGUUAUUGAUGUUAAGUGCUUGCAUUUAACUGAUUUAACAUUGAGACGAGUGGCGAACUGGUGAGUAACACGUGGGUAACCUGCCCUUGAAGUAGGGGAUAACACUUGGAAACAGGUGCUAAUACCGUAUAACAACCAAAACCACCUGGUUUUGGUUUAAAAGAUGGCUUCGGCUAUCACUUUAGGAUGGACCCGCGGCGUAUUAGCUUGUUGGUAAGGUAACGGCCUACCAAGGCAAUGAUACGUAGCCGACCUGAGAGGGUAAUCGGCCACAUUGGGACUGAGACACGGCCCAAACUCCUACGGGAGGCAGCAGUAGGGAAUCUUCCACAAUGGACGAAAGUCUGAUGGAGCAACGCCGCGUGAGUGAUGAAGGGUUUCGGCUCGUAAAACUCUGUUGUUGGAGAAGAACAGGUGUGAGAGUAACUGUUCACAUCUUGACGGUAUCCAACCAGAAAGCCACGGCUAACUACGUGCCAGCAGCCGCGGUAAUACGUAGGUGGCAAGCGUUGUCCGGAUUUAUUGGGCGUAAAGCGAGCGCAGGCGGUUUCUUAGGUCUGAUGUGAAAGCCUUCGGCUUAACCGGAGAAGUGCAUCGGAAACCAGGAGACUUGAGUGCAGAAGAGGACAGUGGAACUCCAUGUGUAGCGGUGAAAUGCGUAGAUAUAUGGAAGAACACCAGUGGCGAAGGCGGCUGUCUGGUCUGUAACUGACGCUGAGGCUCGAAAGCAUGGGUAGCGAACAGGAUUAGAUACCCUGGUAGUCCAUGCCGUAAACGAUGAGUGCUAAGUGUUGGAGGGUUUCCGCCCUUCAGUGCUGCAGCUAACGCAUUAAGCACUCCGCCUGGGGAGUACGACCGCAAGGUUGA
Molecule: ribosomal RNA, 881 nt
Filed under: Lentilactobacillus parabuchneri
Lineage: Bacteria; Bacillati; Bacillota; Bacilli; Lactobacillales; Lactobacillaceae
Description: bacterial SSU rRNA
Rfam family: Bacterial small subunit ribosomal RNA
Source: RNAcentral